This 272-nucleotide long non-coding RNA is filed under the name Mus spicilegus (steppe mouse). Its description in RNAcentral is "lncRNA (ENSMSIG00000011374.1)". Lineage: Eukaryota; Metazoa; Chordata; Mammalia; Rodentia; Muridae. The record is from RNAcentral.
CACACAGAGCUUUGAAAGGCCACCAAGAACACAGUGAGAAGGUGGCUAUAAUCCAAGAUGAAACCCCACUGGAUAGACCAUCUUGGUCUUCCAGGUUCCAUUCCACAUGCCACAUUGUGCACCCCUCUGUGUCUCCCAAUUGUCUUCUCUGCCCUCAUUUGCCUUGGGCUGAUCUGUUGAAAGUCGCAGAGACCAGGCAGCCCUCUAGUGGGAGUAAACACUGUGCUCCUGGCUGUGACAUCAUCACAUUAUGCUUGCUGCAGGGACCCUAA